CAUCGGACAUUUUCUGAACCUGUUCUGGGCCCCACAGGGCAGGCAUGAGUAUCUACAGACUGCACUGGAGGGUUAUACUGGUCCUUUUCUUCCUUUUCAAGCCCUAGAAGAGGAGUCUUCUGUGGCACGCAUCUUGUAGGAGUACUGAGAACUCCGAAGAGCCCAGGCAUGCGCAGCACCUGCCAUUCUCAGAUGAGGCAACGCAUCUUCCCACAAGAUGUCACCUGUGGCCACCUCCCAAAAAAGCCUCAUUGUCCUUAUCAGCUUUAGAGGGUUGUGAGGAGGGCUGAAUGAGGUGACAUAUGACAGUCAUUAGUCCCAUCCAUACCUGGCUCACCACAUGUGAUGGAAGGACAUGUGACAUGCAGACUCUGAAGAUCCCAGGACCCAUCACAUGACGUCCCAGACAGACAGAACUCCAAGCUCCAUUGGAAGAGGAGUGGACCCGUGUCUCCAGGACUUACCUGUGCCACUGUUUGGUCGGCUGAUUUUGCUGGAAGUCUGUGAAAAGACACUAAGCGCAUGGGAGUCUAGCCUUUAACAGCUGAGCCGUCUCUCCAGCCCCAGUGAUUCUUUGAGAAGAUUUAUUAUUAUUGUUAUUAUUAUUAUUGUUAUUAUUAUUAUCUAGCACAGACUGUGGGUCUGGGAUCACUCGAGACUCGGGGAGUUUAAUAAGGACGCCGACAAAAAGUCAUUGAAGGUCUGAGCAUGGGCAGUAGGGUCAUCAGGCAACAAAGUUUUGGCAUUUCUGCUAAUGUAUCGGCUCCCAUGUCCCCAGUCUCAGCUGGCUUCUCCUGCAUCCUCUUGCCUACCCCAUGUACUCACAUGGAUGGUGAGACUCAACACCUUUCUCCGAAAUCCACUAAUAGUCAUUCUGUUAUACAAGACUUUGCUAGUACAAAGGGCUUUGCCGGUAUGACCAAUUUUCCCGAAGAUUUAGGGACUGCAAAUACAUUACUUUUCAACGAAUCAAUCCUUGCUCUUCUUCAAGAGUCUGUGCCUGUCAAGUGUCUUAGCAGAGGUCUCCCUCCCACUGUAUGUAGCUCCACUUCUGGAACCCUGUCCCUGCAUGGUAAAUAAGAUAGUUUGAGCUGUUAGUAGCCUUUGUCCUUCUUGGUCACAGCUAAAAUCACAUGGAUGCAGUCUGAUUUUCCUGCUACCAUGUAAGAGCCUUGGUAGGACCCAUCAAGAAUGUUUUAGAAACAGGAAUGAGAUCUUCCAGCCACUACCAUCAUAUAUUAUUACCUGCAUAUUCAAGAGGAAAGGAAGAUAGUUAAUUUUAUUUCAUGUUGCACGGGAUGCUAAAUAAUAGCAGAAUAAUAACCAAAUACCUAGUUUGGAAAACUGAUGAUUGGCAUGAGCUUUUGAGGCAGAUAAAAUGGCUUUGAACCUUUA
This is a long non-coding RNA of Peromyscus leucopus (white-footed mouse), 1395 nucleotides long. RefSeq lists it as uncharacterized. The record is from RefSeq and is a predicted model, not a curated record. The transcript has 3 exons. NCBI's taxonomy places the organism in Eukaryota, Metazoa, Chordata, Mammalia, Rodentia, Cricetidae.